AACUUUAUAGUUUAUAAAAAACAUUUCUUUUUCAAGGAAAAAAAUAAACAAGUUU
RNAcentral lists this transfer RNA (55 nucleotides) under Elateroidea sp. 8 KM-2017. RNAcentral's name for it is "tRNA-Glu". The record is from RNAcentral. Lineage: Eukaryota; Metazoa; Arthropoda; Insecta; Coleoptera.